Molecule: non-coding RNA, 280 nt
Organism: Otolemur garnettii (small-eared galago)
Lineage: Eukaryota; Metazoa; Chordata; Mammalia; Primates; Galagidae
Source: Rfam
ACCAAGUGUGUGGUGGCAUGCACCUGUAGUCCCAGCUACUUGGGAGGCUAAGACAGGAGGAUCACUUGUGUCCAGAAGUUCUGGGCUGUAGUGUGCUAUGUCAAUCAAGUGUCCACACUAAGUUCAGCAUCAAUUUGGUGACCAGAUUGCCUAAGGAGGAGUGAACCGGCCCAGGUCGGAAACAGAGCAGAUCAGAGCUCCGUGCUGAUCAGUAGUGGGAUUGCACCUGUGAAUAGCCAAUGCACUCCAGCCUGGGCAACAUAGUGAGACCCCAUCUCUA